This 855-nucleotide long non-coding RNA is filed under the name Coturnix japonica (Japanese quail). RNAcentral describes it as "lncRNA (ENSCJPG00005003901.1)". Lineage: Eukaryota; Metazoa; Chordata; Aves; Galliformes; Phasianidae. The record is from RNAcentral.
AUGGGAUUUUGGGGCCUUUUGGGUCCAUUUUGGGUUAAAUUAAUGGGAUUUUGGGGCUAUUUGGGGUUGAAUCAAUGGGAUUUUGGGGUUAUUUGGGUUGAAUUACUGGGAUUUCGGGGCCAUUUUGGGUCUAUUUGGUUCCAUUUUGGGUUGAUUUGUGCUGAUUUUGGGUCUAUUAUUGAUUAUUUCAGUGCCAGCCGGGACCUUCGAAGCCACCGACGGAGCCGCCACCCCCACAGCAGCCAACAGAGGAGCCCAGCAAGGAGCCAAAAAAGGAAAAUGGGGCCGGGAGCAGGUAACAAAAAUGGGGUGAAAAUGGGCAAAAAUGGGCAAAAAUGGGGUAAAAAUGGCGAUUUUGGGGCAAAAAUGGGCAAAAAUGGGCUAAAAAUGGGCAAAAAUGGACCAAAAAUGGCGAUUUUGGGGUAAAAAUGGGCCAAAAAUGGUGAUUUUGGGGCAAAAAUGGGCAAAAAUGGGGCAAAAAUGGGGGAAUUUGGGGCAAAAAUGGGGGAAUUUGGGGCAAAAAUGGGGGAUUUGGGGGAGAAAAUGGGAAUUUUGGGAUUAAAAUGGGGAAAUUUGGGUCAAAAAUGGGGGAUUUUGAGGUAAAAAUGUGCAAAAAUGGGCCAAAAAUGGUGAUUUUGGGGCAAAAAUGGGCAAAAAUGGGGCAAAAAUGGCAAUUUUGGGUCAAAAUGGGCUAAAAAUGGCGAUUUUGGGGCAAAAAUGGGCAAAAAUGGGCCAAAAUGGGCAAAAAUGGGGCAAAAAUGGGCAAAAAUGGGCCAAAAAUGGCGAUUUUGGGGUAAAAAUGGGCAAAAAUGGGCCAAAAAUGGCGAUUUUGGGGCAAAAAUGGGCAAAAAAUGG